GAUGAACGCUGGCGGCGUGCCUAAUACAUGCAAGUCGAGCGAACAGACGAGGAGCUUGCUCCUUUGACGUUAGCGGCGGACGGGUGAUUAACACGUAGGUAACCUACCUAUAAGACUGGGAUAACUUCGGGAAACCGGAGCUAAUACCGGAUAAUAUUUCGAACCGCAUGGUUCGAUAGUGAAAGAUGGCUUUGCUAUCACUUAUAGAUGGACCUGCGCCGUAUUAGCUAGUUGGUAAGGUAACGGCCUACCAAGGCAACGAUACGUAGCCGACCUGAGAGGGUGAUCGGCCACACUGGAACUGAGACACGGUCCAGACUCCUACGGGAGGCAGCAGUAGGGAAUCUUCCGCAAUGGGCGAAAGCCUGACGGAGCAACGCCGCGUGAGUGAUGAAGGUCUUCGGAUCGUAAAACUCUGUUAUUAGGGAAGAACAAACGUGUAAGUAACUGUGCACGUCUUGACGGUACCUAAUCAGAAAGCCACGGCUAACUACGUG
RNAcentral lists this ribosomal RNA (497 nucleotides) under uncultured bacterium. Its description in RNAcentral is "partial 16S ribosomal RNA". It matches the Rfam family "Bacterial small subunit ribosomal RNA", at positions 28 to 507 of the family's 1533-position model. The record is from RNAcentral.